This 1443-nucleotide ribosomal RNA is filed under the name uncultured organism. Its description in RNAcentral is "16S ribosomal RNA". It matches the Rfam family "Bacterial small subunit ribosomal RNA". The record is from RNAcentral.
CGUGCUUAACACAUGCAAGUCGAACGGAAAGGCCCUGCUUUUGUGGGGUGCUCGAGUGGCGAACGGGUGAGUAACACGUGAGUAACCUGCCCUUGACUUUGGGAUAACUUCAGGAAACUGGGGCUAAUACCGGAUAGGAGCUCCUGCUGCAUGGUGGGGGUUGGAAAGUUUCGGCGGUUGGGGAUGGACUCGCGGCUUAUCAGCUUGUUGGUGGGGUAGUGGCUUACCAAGGCUUUGACGGGUAGCCGGCCUGAGAGGGUGACCGGCCACAUUGGGACUGAGAUACGGCCCAGACUCCUACGGGAGGCAGCAGUGGGGAAUAUUGCACAAUGGGCGGAAGCCUGAUGCAGCAACGCCGCGUGCGGGAUGACGGCCUUCGGGUUGUAAACCGCUUUCGCCUGUGACGAAGCGUGAGUGACGGUAAUGGGUAAAGAAGCACCGGCUAACUACGUGCCAGCAGCCGCGGUGAUACGUAGGGUGCGAGCGUUGUCCGGAUUUAUUGGGCGUAAAGGGCUCGUAGGUGGUUGAUCGCGUCGGAAGUGUAAUCUUGGGGCUUAACCCUGAGCGUGCUUUCGAUACGGGUUGACUUGAGGAAGGUAGGGGAGAAUGGAAUUCCUGGUGGAGCGGUGGAAUGCGCAGAUAUCAGGAGGAACACCAGUGGCGAAGGCGGUUCUCUGGGCCUUUCCUGACGCUGAGGAGCGAAAGCGUGGGGAGCGAACAGGCUUAGAUACCCUGGUAGUCCACGCUGUAAACGGUGGGUACUAGGUGUGGGGUCCAUUCCACGGGUUCCGUGCCGUAGCUAACGCUUUAAGUACCCCGCCUGGGGAGUACGGCCGCAAGGCUAAAACUCAAAGGAAUUGACGGGGCCCCGCACAAGCGGCGGAGCAUGCGGAUUAAUUCGAUGCAACGCGUAGAACCUUACCUGGGUUUGACAUGGAUCGGGAGUGCUCAGAGAUGGGUGUGCCUCUUUUGGGGUCGGUUCACAGGUGGUGCAUGGCUGUCGUCAGCUCGUGUCGUGAGAUGUUGGGUUAAGUCCCGCAACGAGCGCAACCCUUGUUCACUGUUGCCAGCACGUUAUGGUGGGGACUCAGUGGAGACCGCCGGGGUCAACUCGGAGGAAGGUGGGGAUGACGUCAAGUCAUCAUGCCCCUUAUGUCCAGGGCUUCAUGCAUGCUACAAUGGCUGGUACAGAGAGUGGCGAGCCUGUGAGGGUGAGCGAAUCUCGGAAAGCCGGUCUCAGUUCGGAUUGGGGCCUGCAACUCGACCUCAUGAAGUCGGAGUCGCUAGUAAUCGCAGAUCAGCAACGCUGCGGUGAAUACGUUCCCGGGGCUUGUACACACCGCCCGUCAAGUCAUGAAAGUUGGUAACACCCGAAGCCGGUGGCCUAACCGUUGUGGGGGAGCCGUCGAAGGUGGGACUGGUGAUUAGGACUAAGUCAUAACA